AUGGUGUUGGGUAUAAAAUACCCACAGCCGAAGUUCUCAGCGGGAUUGACUUUUGCAGGCUCCGUCCACGACUUCAACCACAAGGAGGACUCCGCCCGGACUCCUACGGGAGCUGGGCUCCAUCACUGACUUCAACUGCAGGAAGACUCCGUCCGAACUCCUACGGGAGCCGGGCUCCGUCACCAACUUCAACUGCUGGUAAGCUCCGUCCGGACUCCUACGGGGGCCGGACUUCGCAC
This 239-nucleotide long non-coding RNA is filed under the name Elaeis guineensis (African oil palm). Its description in RNAcentral is "long non-coding RNA (EGUI_LNC064011)". The record is from RNAcentral. Lineage: Eukaryota; Viridiplantae; Streptophyta; Magnoliopsida; Arecales; Arecaceae.